Long non-coding RNA from Drosophila gunungcola (fruit fly), 1074 nucleotides. RefSeq lists it as uncharacterized. Lineage: Eukaryota; Metazoa; Arthropoda; Insecta; Diptera; Drosophilidae. The transcript has 3 exons. The record is from RefSeq and is a predicted model, not a curated record.
GCAGCGGUGGUUGUGUGCGCUCGUCCCUUGGAUUCACCACCAGGACCCACACACUCUGCUCCUGUGCCUUGAAAAGUGUUUAGUGUGCAAAUAAAAUAAAGCAAAAAAAAAAAAAGGGGGAAGGGGGGUAAAAACUAAGGGAACAAAAACCAUCACAGAAGUGGUUAAAGUGACAAAAACUGAAACUGAAACUGUGCAGCACAUUAUGUGUGUGAGUGUGAGAUAAGGACCUGCCGAGACAUUGGCCCGAAGACUGCGACAAUGGCUACGCCCAAGGCCUAGGCAAGUUGAACGCCCACACAAACACACACAGGACGAGCAGGACGAACAGGAGGACCAGGACGAACAGGACUGGCAGCCUGGCAAAUGACUUGUUUUCGGUUCUUAAAUUGUUUUAUUUUUCCCAGCCAUUUGCCAUUGUUAUUUAGCGCAUUGUGGACAUUACGUGGCCAGGCCCCCCUGCCAUAUGUUGGCUCUGUGUUUGUGUGGGUGUUGCGAACAGGGUCCUCUUUAAAUGAAAUAAAAACAAAGCAAAACCAUCGACAUCUCUUUAAGCGAAUGGAGGAGAGCCUCAUUACUGGAUGAUGCUGAUGAUAAUGAGCUCUGCGUUCCGACCCCCACACACAUUAUCAUUCACAACUCAUCCGAUUGUCAUUGUCUAUGUCUUCCUGGCAUCACGACGAGGCAGGAGUGGAAGGAGCAGGUGCAGGAGCAGGAGCUGAGGAGCAGGACCAAAAGAGCUGCAUGCCCAUCCCCUCGACAUCGUCGUCGUCGUCAUCGCCGUCGCCAUCUCAGCCUGGCUUACGAUUUUGCGCUUGCAUUCAUUUUUAAAAGACGACGGCCCCGAGGGCAUGCUUUUGCAGGUAUGCAGGAUACACGGCUACAGGGACACACUCCAUUGUCUGCAGGACACCGCGGCAACAAACUCCAAAUCACAGCCUGUGCUCGUGCUGAUGUUCCAUCUCCAUCUUCAUCUUCAUCUCGACAUGCGCUAAUGGCAAAAGAUCCACAAAAGAUGAAAGCAUGUGUGGCUUUAUCAAGUGGUAAGUAUUUAUUGAAGCGGGAAAGUUAUAA